Molecule: ribosomal RNA, 499 nt
Filed under: uncultured bacterium
Lineage: Bacteria
Description: bacterial SSU rRNA
Rfam family: Bacterial small subunit ribosomal RNA
Source: RNAcentral
GAACGCUAGCGACAGGCUUAACACAUGCAAGUCGAGGGGUAACAGGGUAGCAAUACCGCUGACGACCGGCGCACGGGUGAGUACCGCGUAUGCAACCUGCCUAUAACUGGGGAAUAGCUCCCUGAAAGGGGAAUUAACACCGCAUAACACUAUUGAUUCGCAUGGAUUGGUAGUUAAAUGUAGCGAUACAGGUUAUAGAUGGGCAUGCGUGACAUUAGCUAGUUGGUGAGGUAACGGCUCACCAAGGCUACGAUGUCUAGGGGUUCUGAGAGGAAGGUCCCCCCACACUGGUACUGAGACACGGACCAGACUCCUACGGGAGGCAGCAGUGAGGAAUAUUGGUCAAUGGGCGCAAGCCUGAACCAGCCAUGUCGCGUGCAGGAAGAACCUGCCCUAGUGGGUUGUAAACUGUCUUUUAUAGUAGAAGAAACACAUCUACGUGUAGAUGUCUGCCAGUAUACUAUGAAUAAGCAUCGGCUAACUCCGUGCCAGCCGCGGC